This 344-nucleotide long non-coding RNA is filed under the name Gouania willdenowi (blunt-snouted clingfish). Its description in RNAcentral is "lncRNA (ENSGWIG00000020279.1)". Lineage: Eukaryota; Metazoa; Chordata; Actinopteri; Blenniiformes; Gobiesocidae. The record is from RNAcentral.
UUAGACUUUUCAAAAACCAAAUUCAUGUUAUUUGGUGACACAGUAAAACUAAAUGUGUUCCUCUCUCUUUGUUUAGGCUGUUUCGAAUGCUAAGGUUUGAAAUCCAUUUUUAAAGUCACAGAUCCUGUAUCCUGACCACGACAACAGCAGCUAAUUUUCUUGGAUCGACCUGAAGCAGAUUCUCUGGGUUCUCAUCCAGUUUCUCAAACAGAUUUUGGCCAACAGACGAUUUUUGGAGCCACUGACAUCGUCUGUAGUUAUUUUCUGCAAACACAUACAUCAAAAUUUAAUAAGCGAACCAAGGUUAGAGCUAGAAUAGUGGUGUCAUUUACAUCCAUCUGUUA